RNAcentral lists this ribosomal RNA (330 nucleotides) under Namea brisbanensis. Its description in RNAcentral is "partial 12S ribosomal RNA". Lineage: Eukaryota; Metazoa; Arthropoda; Arachnida; Araneae; Anamidae. The record is from RNAcentral.
UCUAAAAAUAAAAAGGUAAUAUCCUUGGAGAAACCUAUACUCUUUGACGGCCUUCUUUCUUAUUAAAGGAACUUGUUAUUGAAUCGAAACUACGCGUUAAUUUUUUCUCCUCUUUCAAAGCUUUUAUACCGUCGUCUUAAGGAUUUACUUAGAAGUCCACUCUAAAUUUAUUAUUAAAACAAGUCAGAUCAAGGUGAAGCCUAUAUAGGAGAAUUUAAUGAGUUAUCAAUAAAAAUAAUUUAUAGAUUUUUAUUUUAAAAAAUAAAAAGAAUUAAGAUUUAAAAGUAUUGCUAAAUUAACACUUUAUAAAGAGUCAGUAAAAGAAGGUGU